This 21-nucleotide non-coding RNA is filed under the name Caenorhabditis elegans. The record is from RNAcentral. Lineage: Eukaryota; Metazoa; Nematoda; Chromadorea; Rhabditida; Rhabditidae.
UUUGGAACUUGAUUUAUUAAU